This is a regulatory RNA element of Candidatus Contendobacter odensis Run_B_J11, 117 nucleotides long. It matches the Rfam family "ALIL pseudoknot". The record is from Rfam. Lineage: Bacteria; Pseudomonadati; Pseudomonadota; Gammaproteobacteria; Candidatus Competibacteraceae.
GGCGUAUUUUGCGCAGGCGGAGCUCGACCGCCGGUUCAAGCCAUGACGGCGUUCAUUGAUGAUCACCGUGAAGCCUACGGGGUUGAGCCGAUCGGCAAGGUGUUGCCGAUCGCCCCG